RNAcentral lists this long non-coding RNA (6435 nucleotides) under Nicotiana benthamiana. Its description in RNAcentral is "long non-coding RNA (NBEN_LNC031802)". The record is from RNAcentral. Lineage: Eukaryota; Viridiplantae; Streptophyta; Magnoliopsida; Solanales; Solanaceae.
UCGACUCUCUCUCCUUAGACUAUAAAUUUUGGUAUUUGAAUUAGUAACUAAAUACCAUGAAGUUUCAACUCUUUCGAAAUGUGUAUUCCUGCGUGCAGCAAGAUAUGCAUGAUUGAACAAGCUGGAUAAAGCAUAUAUUACACUGUAAUAAAGCAUGCCGCCAAUAUAAAUGAAGACCAAAUCAUAGAGUGAAUUUAUAGGUAUAUAGUACACAAAAGCUUAAAUUUUUAGAUGAAAUGAUCACAUAAUUCAACGUUUAUUAACUAGAGGUAUUCGCGCUCUGUGGAUUUUCUCCUUGAGAUUUCUUCGACUCAAAUUUUAGAAUGACCUUUUGCAUUGCAGCUUUGAAACUUUUCACCUUCUGCUUAUCAUCUGCUAACUCAUUCUUGUCAAUACUGCUUCUUAUGGUAAAAACACUUGACGACGACUCGUCUUCUUGGCUUCCAUGGAACUUGUAAAGCUUCACGUACUUCAUUAUGUUCUCCAGAAAAAUUCUAAUGUCGAAAGGGGGCUAUUUAUAGUAUGUGAAGAUUCGAAAUUGUGCAUAAAAGACAAAAGAAGAAAAAAAUAUAAGACAAAAAGAUGGAAGAAUCUAUUUAUAGUAUGUGAAGAUUCGAAAUUGAGCAUAAAAGACAAAAGAAAGUACAAAAGUUUCUGCUAAAAGAAAAAAAUAUAGUAAGAUAAAAGAUCGAAGGAUUUUGUUGGUAGUUAUUGGUUGUACCUUUCGUAACUAUUGAUAGAUGGAUCCAAACUAAGAUGUCAUUUUGCCGUGAUGGAAAAAAUGCAGGUUUGUUCAACUAUAUAAAAAGUCACCACAAAUUGUUAGCUUAGCUAGUACUUCUACAUUCUCGCGGCCUUGAAUAACAACAACAACAGCAGCUACCCAGUAUAAUCCCAUAAAGUGGGGUCUGGGGAGGGUAAUAUGUAGACGAGUUUUACCCCUAUCCGAAAGGGCAGAGAGGCUGUUUCCAGUCGACCCUCGGCUCAGUGAAGGAAAGGAAAAACAAAAACAAAAACAAAGGAGCAUUAGUAACUCCAGCAGAAAUAGCUUAAAUAAUUAUCUAAACAUAAGAAACAUAAAUAAAAUAGCAUGCAAUAAUAUCUCGCGGCCUUGAAUAGUUGGGCAAAAUACAAAAAUGGUCGAUCGGCUGAAAUUUAUUGUAUUUGCUAGUUAAAAAGUGUAUAAAAUAUAUUUUUCAGUCUGAAUUUAUGUGAAACUAUUUAUUUUUUUAGUCCAAGCCAAAAAGAAUGAUUCCUUUUCAUAUUUAAGAAUAAUUUUUUUUGUACAAUAAUUUACUAUAUAAAAUAUAUGUGCCUCAUUUUAUACUACAAAUUAAAAAAAUUUCUCUUUUUUUUUUAAAUUUCAUAUUUAAUCAAAUAAAUUUACAUAAAUUAAUACACAAAUAUACAUAAAAUAUACAUUGUAGAGGCUAUCGGUUUUAGGAGUGACAAAAACAUACAUUUCUCAUAAUUUUGUUUUGCUCUUGCCUUUGCUCAUCCGUUUUGGCCACCUAAUUCUUGUGUCUAAGCCUGGCCGACCAGAGGCAAUCAAUUAGCUGUAGAUUAUGUGACGGUGACCCUAACACAUUCCAAUCAAGAAAGUUUGCUUUCCCAAUUUCUUUUCUUAUUCCCCGCACUAUCAUCAGAGACAAUCUUAGAAUCUAAUGUAAAUAGAUAAGUUCAAAAUAUUCAGAAAAGAAUGUGAUAUAUAUAUAUAUAUAUAUUUGUUUUUCAGAACUUGCGCACCAGCCCAACCAACCACAACACACACACCAUUUGUAACAAGUAGCCUCUCUAUGAAUACAACCCCUUAUAUAUAUAUAUAUAUAUAUAUAUAUAUAUAUAUAUAUAUAUAUAUAUAAGUUUCUUUUUCAGAACUUGCCCACCAGCCCAACCACAACGCACAGGCCAUUUGUGAAAAGUAGCCCCUCUAUGAAUACAACCCCUUAGCCUCAUUAAAAGAGGGAGUUUUUAUAUAUUCUUAUAUCAUAUAGGAAACCUUUUUACCUUCUAUAUUUAAGGUUUGAUUUAAUUACAAAUUCGUAUAUCAAAUUAUUAAUCAUAUAUCAUACUUAACUAAGGUCUAAUUAGUGGGCAAAUUUUACUCCUUAAUUAAAGAUAUUCAUAUAUCUCAUGUUUCUCUCUCCUCUUAAUUUAUAUAUUUCUUUCUCCUAAUCCAACGUUAUUUUCUCCCUCACAUUUUUUUCUCUUCUCCAUUCCUUCUUCUUCUCAAAAAAUACAAAGAUGNNNNNNNNNNNNNNNNNNNNNNNNNNNNNNNNNNNNNNNNNNNNNNNNNNNNNNNNNNNNNNNNNNNNNNNNNNNNNNNNNNNNNNNNNNNNNNNNNNNNNNNNNNNNNNNNNNNNNNNNNNNNNNNNNNNNNNNNNNNNNNNNNNNNNNUGUCAGAUAUUGUUCUGAAUUUUAACAAGUACGAGAUCGAGAGUAGAUAUAUGAUACAUAAGACUUCCUCAAUCGAUCAAUCAAUAAUUCUCAAUUGUAAAUUUGUGGGGUAGCCAUAUGAAUCUUCUGUAAGUGUGACAGUGUGGGGUGCAAUUGUAGUUUAUUUGUAGUAAUUUUGUAGAUGAAGAGCAAAUUUUAUUGUCAACUUUUUUUUUUCACAUCAGAUUGUAGUUUAAUUUGUAGUAUAAAUAUAGUAAUUUUGUAGAUACCCUUAUAAACAAUACAACUUUAUGCAAUACUUGAACUGAUUUGCAGUUUAUUUAUAGUUUUUUUUGUAGAUGAAGAGAAAAUUUUGUAGUCAACAUUUUUUUCAACAUAGAUUGUAGUGUAAUUGUAGUAUAAAUGUAGUAAUUUUGUAGAUACCCUUCAAAACAAUAUUGCUUUAUACAUACUAAACUGAUUUGUAGUUUAUUUGUAGAUUUUUUUGUAGAAAAUUUAUAGAUUAGGAAAAAAUUUUGUAGUCAAUAUUUUUUUGCAAUAUAGAUUGCAGUUUAAUUGUAGUAUAAAUGUGGUAGUUUGUAGAUACCAUUAAAAUAAUAUUGAAAAAACAUUUAGUCCCAAAUUUUUAGCCGCCUAAUUUGAAAGGAAUAAGCUAUUCAAAUAUUUAUCCCAGAUUGGUAGGCGUCUAAUUUGGAAGGAAUCAAUUCUUAAUAUUGGGUAUUAAAUGAAUGGUAUAAAUUUUCCAGAUUUGUAGGCGCCUAAUUUGGAAGGAAUCAAUUCUUAAUAUUGGGUAUUUAAUGAAUGGUAUACAUUUUGUAGCAAAAAUAUAAACAUGGCAGAUAAUAAUAAAAAUAUGCACAUUUUUAGUAAUAAGGUUUCAUAUAUGGUAUAGAUACGAAAACAUUCCUUAAAAGAAUAGUAAAGAUUCAGAUUUUUACAACUCCUUUUUAGAAAUCCAAAUUCGAAAACAUAUUCUCGAAAAGGAUAUAUCAUUCCAUUUUGGAAUUCAAUGGCAAUUCAUUGAAAGAUAUGAUCUUGUUCUUAAGAACCUCUCCAAAAUAAAAUAAAUAAAUGAAUACAUAAUAUAUAUUGCCAAAAUAUUUGACACCAUUUGUUGAUACUAUAAAACUUCAACUAGUUCGUAUAGAUCAAUAACUAAUCAAAGUUAAGUUUGAUGUGUUAUUCUUUUACAAAUUAUUUUAAUAUCUUUGUAUACUAUCAGAAUUGGGCUUCCUUAAUUUUAUAUGGCUAAUCGAAACUGGAGUGGCAGAUCAUGGCUCGGUCUCACAUUGCAUCGAACCAUGGCACGGAGAUGGAUUACUAAGCUCCUGAGUCAAUGAUCGGUCAAGAUGGAGAUCGACCAUGACCGAGACCGAAGUGAGAUAGAGACCGAGCCAGAUCGAAGGAAGCCUGCUAGACCGAAUAAUAGAAAGUCGAGAUAUCCGUGAUCGGGCGAGGAUCGUGGCGGAAAUCUUGGAACUUAUUGAGUUAAGACCGGACAUUUAGCCAGUCAUGAUCUUUUCUUUAGUAUUUAGAAUUGUACCAUACGUAGAAUUCUUCUGCUAUGUAAAGGGGGUUCUAAUAAUUUUAUAAGGAUCAUAUUCACGCAUAACAAAGAAAUACAUUACAUUGUUCAGUUCAAACUUUUUAUUAGCAUACACUAUUGGUUCCAGCUUGAAGGUCGUAACCGCUCAUUAUAUUGGUUAACAUUAUUUUACAGUUAAUUCCUAAUAUUAAUUCCCAUAUUUCUCAGUUUGUGCCAAGUGAAAUAAUAUAUUCUUAAAACCACUCAUAAGUUUAAUUGUUGUCUAAUUUUAAGGAUAAACAAUUUGGCCCACUAUGGGGCUAAGCAUAAUAGUGAUUGCCAGGUACAAAUUUUCGUAACACAUACUAUUUUACGCUUGUUUUUUGAAGUAUCUUUGAUUACAGAAUUAAAAGAUGUCAAACUCUCAGUCAUCACCUCAAUACAUUGACAAUAAUAUCAGCCACCACGGUGAGAAUGAGAACAUUGCACCAGGAAAUGUAGCACCCCAUGCUGACCUCGAUGGAGUUCUGGCUGCAGACCCAAUUGACGUCAAUUCACACGUAGCCAUCAAGGGAAAUAUGGUUGUCGAUCCCAAAAGUAGCGUUCAUGAGGGUACGGAUCAGCUACUCAGAAUGCGGAUAGCGGUGAAGAUGGAGGGAUUAGCCUGCGGGUAAUCUUUGAAAUAUUGCAGGACCAGCAGACAGUAAAAUCUCAACUCCAAAAUCAGAACCACAUGCCGAGCAGGAUCAAACUCGAUCCAUCCCAAAAAAAUUUACAGCGGGUCGAAUCAACUUAGAAAAAAUCAAAUGAGAAGGAAUUGGAGACCAAUCCCACUAUCCUAGAAUGCUCGAAGAGUUGAUGAAGCGAAUCGAGACAAGGGAAAAGAAGAUCGAGGAAAAUGAUAAGAAGGUGGAAACCUAUAACUCUAGGUUCAACCAAAUCCUCGGGACACCACUAAUAUUGAAAGGAGUAGAUUCUAAAAUGUUUGUACAAAAACCUUUUCCCCCAAGAACUGCUCCAAAUACAAUCCCCAAGAAGUUCCGUAUGCCUGAGAUUCCUAAGUAUAACGGGACAACUGAUCCAAAAGAACAUGUCACCUCGUACAUGUGCGCCAUCAAAGGAAAUGACUUGGAAGAUGACAAAAUUGAAUCCGUAUUGCUAAAGAAAUUCGGGGAGACUCAAUCAAAGGGUGUCAUGAUAUGGUAUCAUAGCUUACCGCCUAAUUCUAUAGAUUCAUUUGCUAUCCAACAAAUUCUUUUGUAAAGGCACACGCCAGAGCCAAUAAGGUUGCAAUAAGAAAGUUGGAUCUUUUCAAGGUAAGGCAGAAAGAUAAUGAGAUGCUCAGGGAAUUCCUGCUUUGAUUCUAAAUAGAGAGAAUAAAUUUGCCUCCGGUCACCGAUGACCGGGCUAUUCAAGCUUUCACCCAAGGUCUCAGUACUCAGAGUUCCAUCGCUUCAUAGCAGUUGAAGCAAAAAUUGAUCGAGUAUCCAGCUGUCACUUAGACCGAUGUACAUAAUGGAUAAUAGUGGAAGAUCAGGGUCGAGGAUAAUCAACUAGGGAAUCCUUCCGGUUCCGUUUAUCCUAAUAGGCCUGUAGAUAGAAUCAACAGGGAUAUCGACCGAGAGCUAAGGUAGAAUAGAGAUUGGUAUCUAUGGUACAGUGGGGACAACAGAAGUAGCUGGUAUGGACGAAAGUUUGCACCAAAUGAAAGGAGAAAUGAUCGAGGUCAAAGUUCACGGGGAUUCAUGAGUAAGGAUGGUUUCAAUAGGGAUAACGGGCCCAAAAGUUCCACGAUUGUCGGAAUAUGACUUCAAUAUAGAUGCAUUGGCCAUUAUAUCAGCCAUCAAAUGUAUCAAGGAUACUAUAUAGACUACAUAGUGAUAUGGCCCAGAGAAAUCCCAACCAAAUAUGCAAGUAUCAUGGCACCUAUGAAUAGAAGAUUGUAGGCAGCUAAAGGAUGAAACAACCUGAUUAUUCAAUGAAGGGUAUCUUUGAGAAUUAUUAAGCGAUCGAGCCAAUAAUCACUUAAAAAUAGAUAUUAGUUGACAGAACAAGCAGUAAGAGCCACAACACGUGAUUGACAUGAUCUUUGGAGGGGUAGAUAUUCCUCAAGGAUGAAUAUUUAAAUGCACCAAUGUGUCGAUCACAAGGGAAAAAUGAACUCGGGACUACUUAUCGGAAAGGGCCUUAUCUUUCAAUGAUGAGGAUGCAGAAGGGAUUGAGCAACCCCACAAUGAUGCUCUGGUAAUAUUUGUCCUUAUAAAUAAAAUUCAAGUUAAACAUGUUUUGAUUGAUCCAUGUAGCUCGGCCAAUAUUAUUCGAUCGAUGGACGUAGAACAAAUCGGCCUACAAGAUCAACUUGUGCCCACAUGCCGAGUACUUAAUGACAUCAACAUAGAAAGCGAAACCACCAAAGGGGAAAUUAUUUUACUAGUAAACGUGGCUGGGAUCAUACAAGAAACAAAGUUCCAUGUGAUCGAGAGUGACAUGAGGUACAACUCAGUGCUCGGAAG